AGGAGUGCUUGCACUCCUGAUGGUUAGCGGCGGACGGGUGAGUAACACGUAGGUAACCUGCCCAUAAGACUGGGAUAACCCACGGAAACGUGAGCUAAUACCAGAUAGGCAUUUUCCUCGCAUGAGGGAGAUGAGAAAGGCGGAGCAAUCUGCCACUUAUGGAUGGACCUGCGGCGCAUUAGCUAGUUGGUAAGGUAACGGCUUACCAAGGCGACGAUGCGUAGCCGACCUGAGAGGGUGAUCGGCCACACUGGGACUGAGACACGGCCCAGACUCCUACGGGAGGCAGCAGUAGGGAAUCUUCCGCAAUGGACGAAAGUCUGACGGAGCAACGCCGCGUGAGUGAUGAAGGUUUUCGGAUCGUAAAGCUCUGUUGCCAGGGAAGAACGCCUAGGAGAGUAACUGCUCCUAGGGUGACGGUACCUGAGAAGAAAGCCCCGGCUAACUACGUGCCAGCAG
RNAcentral lists this ribosomal RNA (459 nucleotides) under Paenibacillus alvei. RNAcentral's name for it is "bacterial SSU rRNA". It matches the Rfam family "Bacterial small subunit ribosomal RNA", at positions 72 to 514 of the family's 1533-position model. Lineage: Bacteria; Bacillati; Bacillota; Bacilli; Caryophanales; Paenibacillaceae. The record is from RNAcentral.